This 378-nucleotide ribosomal RNA is filed under the name uncultured bacterium. RNAcentral describes it as "bacterial SSU rRNA". It matches the Rfam family "Bacterial small subunit ribosomal RNA", at positions 527 to 904 of the family's 1533-position model. The record is from RNAcentral.
GUAGGUCACAAGCGUUGUCCGGAAUNACUGGGUGUAAAGGGAGCGCAGGCGGGAAGACAAGUUGGAAGUGAAAUCUAUGGGCUCAACCCAUAAACUGCUNUCAAAACUGUUUUUCUUGAGUAGUGCAGAGGUAGGCGGAAUUCCCGGUGUAGCGGUGGAAUGCGUAGAUAUCGGGAGGAACACCAGUGGCGAAGGCGGCCUACUGGGCACCAACUGACGCUGAGGCUCGAAAGUGUGGGUAGCAAACAGGAUUAGAUACCCUGGUAGUCCACACCGUAAACGAUGACUACUAGGUGUCGGGUAGCAAAGCUGUUCGGUGCCGCAGCAAACGCAAUAAGUAGUCCACCUGGGGAGUACGUUCGCAAGAAUGAAACUCAA